RNAcentral lists this ribosomal RNA (270 nucleotides) under uncultured archaeon. RNAcentral's name for it is "partial 16S ribosomal RNA". It matches the Rfam family "Archaeal small subunit ribosomal RNA", at positions 477 to 747 of the family's 1478-position model. The record is from RNAcentral.
CAGCACCUCAAGUGGUCAGGAUGAUUAUUGGGCCUAAAGCAUCCGUAGCCGGCUCUGUAAGUUUUCGGUUAAAUCUGUACGCUCAACGUACAGGCUGCCGGGAAUACUGCAGAGCUAGGGAGUGGGAGAGGUAGACGGUACUCGGUAGGAAGGGGUAAAAUCCUUUGAUCUAUUGAUGACCACCUGUGGCGAAGGCGGUCUACCAGAACACGUCCGACGGUGAGGGAUGAAAGCUGGGGGAACAAACCGGAUUAGAUACCCGAGUAGUCC